This 6317-nucleotide long non-coding RNA is filed under the name Ananas comosus (pineapple). RNAcentral describes it as "long non-coding RNA (ACOM_LNC044041)". The record is from RNAcentral. Lineage: Eukaryota; Viridiplantae; Streptophyta; Magnoliopsida; Poales; Bromeliaceae.
GGUCCUGUAAGGUACCGGACUUCUAAAGGUAUGAAGUUACGGUGUACGUUUAAAUGGUUCCGGUGAGGUUGCGGUGUAAUGUAAUAUACCGGAUUUAAAUAUAAAAAUAGAAAUAAAUAAAAAUAGUAUGAGAUACUAUUUUUAUUGGAUUUAGAGAAGUGAAAUAUGAGUUAGAAACGACCUGUGCUGAAAUCGGAAUUAAAACAGAAGAUUUAGAAUUUUCUGUUGGAAAUGGGACAGAUAAAUUAGCAGAAAAUGCACAGUCUCAGAAAAUUAUGAAAAUUGGCAGAGAUGUCAGAAAUAUUUUUAUGAGGCUAUAUUUAAAGUUUCAUAUUUUUCUGACACCCAUAGAGUGGGAAAUGAAAUCCGAAGGCUAUCUGAUAAAGAUUGCAGUUCGGUACAGUUUUCGGUGACCAAACGGGGUCGAAACUGAAAACUUUAGAUAUAUUCUUGUUCAGUACGUUAAACCGAACAUGACUGUCAAAUUUGAGCUCAAACGGACAUUCAGAAGGGCUCCAACGAAACUUAUCAGAUUUAGGGACUAAAUUGGAAGGUUGAAUAGUUGAGGGGCUAACUUGCAAAAUGGGAUUAAAUCCCUUUUCUCCUCCUUCCUCCUCAGCCGAAUGCAACACACACACACACGCAUCACGCACACACACGCAUACAUGGAAUGGGAGAGACAAAACCUCCCUUUUCUCUCUCUAAUUCUCUCCCAAAAUUGAUGAAAUUGGUGGAGAAGCAAGCUUGGAAAUGGAUCUUCAUCUCCUUCAUGUUCUUCCUCUCCAUUGGAGCUUGCUUGAGAGGUAAGCUUCAAACCCCUUUAAUGGUAGAUCCUUAAUGGUUGGUCUAAAUACCUUACAAAUGGAUUUAGAGGAAUCCUAGCACGCUAACUAGAUGAAUGAUGCUUGAUUCACGAAGAAAUUUGGUGGAUUUUUAUCUAGUUGUAAACCUAGGGUUCAAAAUGCUAAUUUUUAAAAUAUGAGGGUUUGAUCUAAUUUGACCCUCCGUAAACCUAAUUGCUAGGUAACNNNNNNNNNNNNNNNNNNNNNNNNNUUUUGGGGUGUUACAGGUUCGCACGUGAGCGGCGCGGCGGCGCGAGGAAAGGGCGUAGCUCAGUAGAUAGCGCCCUACCACAGAGACCAGAGUUAGCGGUACCCCGAGUCGACAUAUCCUAGGGGUAUAGAGAUGAAAGAUCAAUGUAUCAAAUUGUAAUGAAUAAUUGAUGUAGCAAUUCAUAUUCAGAUGUACUAUGCUUGUGAAUAAUGAUGUAGUAGCUUAGAUUGCAUUUGGUUUGAAGUAAAUUGUAAUUAAGAGGUAAGGUAUGAAUGAAUGAAUGUAAUAACUUAGGAUGUGUUUAUGUUGUUUGAUACCUUCCUUAUGCAAUCGUUGUAUGUUGAAUACUGUUCCUGUUUGGAACCUGUUGUAAUUGUAUUGAUUGCGAUGCCUUGAACGUACAGGGGAGACUCUGUCCGCAGUGCAGGGAAAACUCUGUCCGUUCGGCGCUGUCGGCGCCGCGACCCCGACCAAAUAGGCGGGUGGUCGCGGGCUGUGAUAGGUCCCUGGAAGGAGAGACCGGUCCCCCAAUGAGCAGUGUUGCGGCAGCCCUGAGGCAACCGGUCCCUGGCGGGUGACACCGGUCCCGAGCGCGUUUUCGCAAUGAGAGACCGGUCCUGCGUAGGGAGAGACCGGUUCCCGAACGCUGGUUUUUCGGGUUCGCAGCGAGAGACCGGUCCCUACUGGGGAGAGACCGGUCCCUCUGGGCGAAAACUGCCCAGACCGAGCUGUUGUGAUAUUGGAUUUUUGAGGGGCCUCUUGGGAUUUUGUUACAAUAGAGNGUGAUUGUCCUAGUUGAGGGGAUUUAAGGCCGAGGUGCAAGUGAGACGUCCUUCGCCUCGUGCCUGGCUCUGUGCGGUACUCCGCAGAUGAUUGACUCAAGACCGAGUCGAGCGGCUAGCUUUGUAAAGGUAGAUGACACCUUAUGAUUAAAAUUGUAAAUGACAGAAAACCUUAAAUGUCAAUUGGAUGAAAGUAGUAAUCGAUUGAAUUACUAGUUGGUUGUAUAGUUGCAUUAUUGCAUGAUCUUCAUAUUGCAUAUCGCGAGGCAAUGCAUGGUAUUGUUAGUUGCAUGAUCUUAUUAUCAUAUCUAUCUGUUUAUUGAACUAACCUGCAGCUUGCCUCCUUCGGACAUGUCGGUCGAGCUUUUUCCUUGGGUGGCCGUACCCACUGGGAACUAUGGAGUUAGUUCUCACCCCACGUUGCUUUUGGGGUAUUACAGGUUCACACAUGAGCGGCGCGGCGGCGCGAGGCGAGGGCGUAGCUCCGUAGAUAGCGCCCUACCACCGUGACCAGAGAUAGCGGUACCCAAGUCAGCCAAGCUAGGGGUUGUAGAAAAGAAAAUCAAAAGGAUCAAACUUGUAAUAAUCUUGUGAUGCUUGAUUGUAUUCGGAAGUUUAAAUGUAUUUGAAAGGAAAAGGAAAUGUAAAUAAUAUCAAGUGAAUGAAUGAAUGAAUGUAAUAACUUAGGAUGUGUUUAUGUUGUUUGAUACCUUCCUUAUGCAAUCGUUGCAUGUUGAAUACUGUUCCUGUUUGGAACCUGUUGUAAUUGUAUUGAUUGCGAUGCCUUGAACGUACAGGGGAGACUCUGUCCGCGGUACAGGGGAAUCCCCGGUCCGUUCGGCGCUGUCGGCGCCGCGACCUCGACCAAAUAGGCGGGGCUCGCGGGCUGUGACAGGAAGUGGUAUCAGAGCAUAAUGUAGAAAAUGGGAAAAUGGUUUAGGCAGACCUAGGAGACCCUAGGAUAGUAAACCAUAGGAGAAUAAGGCUCGUGAGAGACGAGGACUUAUGGGUUAUGGCGAAAGAUUAGUCGAUUGGGUCAGUGUUGAAGCCUCUAUAACGGAUAUUAGAGGUAGACUCGAGGUGUGGUUUAUUCUCAACCGACGGUGUUCAUGUUGGGUCGACACAACAUGAAACCGAGUGUUGAGAAUAGAUACCCUUGUGUGACUUUCGCCCGAUUUGAGUCGGUGUCAGUUGUUUCGCGUUUGACCUUGAGGGUCGAGAAUCGAUCGAGCUGUCGCGUCUUGGGAAGCGAUGGCACCGCGUAGGCGAUCUUUAUGUAGAUCGGCACGAGAUGGGACGAGUGUCAUUCCUACGCAAUCCGAAACGAACGGAGACUUGGGACUUCGUGAGCGAUUGUCCACUCUCGUGUGAGUGGCGGGGUGAUGAGCCGAAUCAAUGCGGCGUCAGCAGGAAGCUGCCGUAUGCCAGGAGGAGCGAAUGAGAAGACUCCAGGAAACGAUAAAUCAGCUGGGGGUUAUACCAGCUGCCGUUCGUCGAGUACGACCGGGAGUUGCGAUGGAAGUAUUUCCGUCGGGUUCGAGCAAUCCGACUUCUAGCACUUCAGAAGCGAAGGCGGGGAAGGACCGAGCUUCGGCGGCCCUCAUGACCUUUAAACGAUUUGAUCCGUCUGCCUUUGGUGGAGAGAAUACGGAUCCGUUUGUCGUGGAGUUGUGGAUCGACUUCAUGGAGACUCCCUUUGGGGAUCUGUGCACUGUAGAGUGAGAGGAUACACCUAGCUGUGCGUUGCUUGCAAACAAUCGGCGAAGGUGUGGUGGAAAGGCAUUCGACAGAAUCGAUUGCCUAGUUUUCCUCCUAUGAUUCGGGAUGAGUUUCGGGGAUCAAUAUUCCCUGUUUACUUCCCCGAUGCUGAGAAAGAAAAGCAUCAGGAAAGGUUCCCGAAGCUACGGCAGGUAGACCGUGUCGUGAGGGAAUACGAGCAGGAAUUCCCUCGUAUCGUGAGUUGUGUCCCGAACGUAGUGCGGGAUGACGAGGAAUUGGCCGAUGUGCCUUUACGGAGACCUUUGCCGGACGUGGUCGAGGUUGUGCGUAUAAGGAAGUGAAUUCUCGAAAUACGAGGAUUGGACUUCGUGUAGAAUCGAACAAGGGUCGUGUUGGUGUGCUUCGGAAAAGCCGAAGAUGUUUAAAUCACCAAAAGUGCGUUGGAAUUGGAGUCCACGAGAGCAAAUAGUGCAAAGUCUGCACUUGGCGGAGAUUGCUCUCGGGAACCGGUCCCUGGCAGGGAGAGACCGGUCCCCGUAGCUUGAAAUUGCUCAGUUUUGGGCAGUGCACAUUCUUGAGUUGUGGUUGCAAUCCCAACCUCGGAAGUGUCAUCUACUUAACUUUUCGGGAUGUGGGAUUGUAGAAGUUCUCACCAGGCACAGCGGUGUGCGCUGUGUGAUGAAAGGUGAUUCGUUGUGGAUGGCCAAACCUUAGCAUUGGCGAAAGCUUUUUCCUCUCCGACACAGCCUGCAGGUGUGUCACCUACAGCAUGGUCUGGAGAGUGAGUGGCGAGAAGGUGACCACCGAAGGGUUCGCAGCGGGCGCCAAGAGGCCGUGGAUAUGCGAACCGGGUUGUGAAACCUGCUGCUAUCGACGAUACCAUGGCAGGUAUGAGUUAAUUGAAGCAAGCAUAGGCUUCUGUAGGAUGUGAAGUUGGUGCAUGCAUGCAUAUGCCAUGUGGUCAUUUACUACCAUCGAUAUGUCAAUGUAGUAGGGACCAAAGGGACGGGUAAGCGUAGAUACCCGGGCAUGCUUGCAUUGUGGGAGCGUAUUAUCUGUUUGAGCGGGUAGAGAGCUGGAUAGCACUAGCAGAUGCUGGUGAUGAUUGUGGGACGAGAAGUGAGACUCGUGAUAAAGACAAAACGGUGAAGCGACUCUCAAGACAACGGGUAGUUGAUUGUGAGAAUUGCGCCGUGACCUUGAGGAUACCCAGGUAGUCCGAGUAUUCGGAUGUAGAUCCGGUAGGUUGAACAGUGGAAAGUAGAAUCACUGUCGAGAGAAUAGCCGGUUAGUUGCCAAGUACGGGCACAUAGGCCUAGUAGUACCUCAGUUUGAGGUUGGAACUUGCGCUUGUUUGGUCGGUGUGUAUAGGCAAGAUUGCCUAUUACUAGACGUAGUGUGGAACGUUAUAGAGACGUACGACGUAAAGAGCGCUCGAGUAUAGGUACUCGUGGUGUGCGGUGUUGACUCAGCCGGUGAGUGUGCAGGCAGUAGCACUUCAGCAUUGCUAGUGUGAAGCGGGCCAUGGAACACUCGUAAGGCUGGUGGCUCGCACUAGGUGUUUAGGAGCCGAUAGUGGUGCAUGUGACUCGAUAGAGUAUGUCGUGUAGGACGACGACAGCGGCAUUGCUCGAGGACGAUUCGUGCCUGGACCAUUGUGGACUGUGGAGCCUGGGCCCUUUGGGCAGGCGCAGUCAGCUGUGAGUGACAGCGGCCCGAUACCUACGGGUGGGGCAGAGUUUUGGUCAGGACGGUAGUCCGAGCUUGGACUCGGGAGCGUGGAAUGCCACGCGUGGAUCAUGAGAUCGAGGAUACACCGAGUGUGUAGUGACCCAAUCCAAGGAUUUGUCGUGGUUUGGGGUCUUAGUUGCUCCUGAUUGGAGUGUGUGCGAAUUCUCCAAUGAGAAUUUCGCCCUGUAACGAUGAUUGGGUCUACGCUAGUGAGCGAGAGAUGCUACGCGUAGUUGAGACCGGUUUAGGCGAUAGGCCUACUAGGAUUGGUGACCCGUGGUUCACCUGUGGAUUUGAGGAAAUGGAUUGAGCGAGUAGUCUUAUCAACGAGUUUAGGCUUGAAGUUACGAACGAGUUGAUAAUGACAAACUAAUAUGUUGAGUGUGUUCCCUGGCGAGAUGUGAAAUGCAAAGAGUUCUUUGCAGACUGGUUGAUGAGAGGUGGGAAAAUGUGUAGAGUUGAUGAAUGUCAACUUACACUACCACCGAGACUCACGAAGUCGUAAUGCACUUUGGACUUACACAUGGCAAAUGUGAGUGAAAUUGGUCUCACAUCCUUCGUAGUGGGCCUUUGGACAGUUCUGUCGAGUAAAAGGCCACUUCGAGAUGCGAAAGUGCAUUGGAGUCCCCGAUUGCCCGGUGAAUUGAGUUGAAGUGAGUUAGUUUCGGGGACGAAACUCUUUUAAGGAGGGGAGAAUGUAAGGUACCGGACUUCUAAAACUAUGAAGUUACGGUGUACAUUUAAAUAGUUCCGGUGAGUUGCGGUGGAAUGUAACAUACCGAAUUUUAAAUAUAAAAAUAAAAAUAAAUAAAAAUAGUAUGAGAUACUAUUUUUAUUGGAUUUAGAGAAGUGAAACAUAAGUCAGAAAUGACUUGUGCUGAAAUCGGAAUGAAAACAGAAGAUCUAGAAUUUUCUGUUGAAAACGGGACAGAUAAAUAAGCAGAAAAUGCACAGUCUCAGAAAAUUAUGAAAAUUGGCAGAGAUGUCAGAAAUAUUUUUAUGAGGCUAUAUUUAAAGUUUCAUAUUUUUCUG